UUUUAAGUACUUCUAUUUUUAUUUUUUAGUAUCUUUUAGUAUUUUUUAUUAUUAUUAUUAUUAUUUUAUUUAUUUUUUUUUUAUUUUUUUUAGAUGACCAUGAUAAACUUAUUAAUUUUUCAAGUUGCAUUUUUAAAAAACAGAAGAUGAGUAUUUCUAGUAUCGAAACUAUUUGUUCAUGUGAAUCCGCAGAAAGUAUUGAAGAUCAAAUUUUGAAUGCAACAACAGGUGUAGCAACGGGUGUAAAAACAAAUGCAGAAACGAAUGAAACAACGAAUGAAGCAACGAAUGAAACAACAAAUGAAGCAGACUAUAGUGAUAAAAAAACUAUUAACUUUAUUCCACUAGUACACAGUACAUGUCCGAGUUUACUCGUGUCAAGUAACAAAAUAAAAAUAGAUAAUACGUAUAAUCCGAGUAAUAAAUUAAUGUUUAGUACUCCUUUUUCUUUAAGUAAUAAAACUAACAUAAACGAAAUAAAAUAUAACAGAGAAAACUUGACCAUACGUAAGAAUGUAUCUAAUACAAAUAAUUCGAUUAACUUAUGUACGAACAGUAAUUUAAUUAACAAUAAAGAUGUAAACUUGAUUAAUGGUACAUAUAAUGUAGGUGUUGAUGCUUUUACAGAAGACCAUAGUGAAGUCGAACAAAAACAAGUAUAUGAUAAUUUAAACGAAUAUACAAAUAGCAACUUUAUAAAAAGUAAUCACUUGUUAAACAUAAACAAUGUUAAUGACAAUAAUAUCAACAGUAAUAGGAUCAACAGUAAUAGGAUCAACAGUAAUAGGAUUAAUAGUAAUAGGGUUAAUAGUAAUGGAAUUGACACCAACAACAUGGUAAACGACAAUAUUAGUACUAUCGUAGAAAACGUUGAAGAUAAAUUAAAAACACAAAACAAUAAAAUAAUGUUGAGUAAUACAUCGAGUAUCAUACAAGAUGACAAUCCAAAUUUUGGUUCAAACAACACAUGUGUUGAUAAUGAGAAUAAAAUUGUAGUUAUUGAAAAUAGACAAACUAAUAACAUAUUUUAUAAAAAUAGACUAAAAAAUUUUAACUACCUGAACGAGAUAAUUAAAAAAAAGUAUCAAGAAAAAAUAAUUAUGGAUGGGUCUGAAUAUAUAUAUAUUUAUGAUAUUUGUGUAAAGAAUCAAGGAUUAAAAAACAAUGAGAAUGUUGAAAAAAAAAAUAUAUUAUCAUUUAUUAAUAAAAGUAACUUAUAUUUAGCUAUUUUUAAUAAUUGUUCUAAAACUAUAAACAAAUUAAAAAAUAUAUUUUCACGUAUAGCAACAAGUAGUAAUCGCGUUAGCUGUUUGACUGAUACUCGUGCAAUACAAUUAAAAUCCGCAGUAGAAAAUAAUAAAAAUAAUAAAAAUAACAAUGAAGACAUUUUAACUGAGAGUAUUAAUAAGGUUGAUAAUGAUGUAUACAUGGAUUUAAUCGAUAUAAAAGGAAGCACAGUUAUACACAGUGAUAGUAGCGACAAUAGUACCGUUAGUAGCAACAACGGAAUUGGUGAAAAUGGUCAAUCACAAUUAAAUACGAGCACCAAACAAUUAUCACAACCAGAAAAGGAAGAAGUAACAGAAAAAGCGAUAGCAACAGAAGAAACAACUGAAACAACAACAACAACAACAACAACAGCAACAACAACAACAGAAACGACAAAUUUUUUAAAAAAAUUAUUUAACCUUUUUUUCUUUUCAUUGACAAACACAGAUGAUAUAUUACACCUUCCUGAUGCUUGUAAUAAGACUACUGCGUGCGAUACUGUUGAAAACCCCCACAUUAACGAAACCAAAUCGACCCAUUUGAAAUAUAUUAUGCCUGGAAUAGAUACCCAAAAAAUUCAAAUAAAUAUGGAACUAUCUAUUAAUAAAAGAAUACAAACCGCUGACAUUUAUGAAAUUAGUAUUAUAAAAAAAGGUUAUAUAUAUAUUUAUAUAGAUAAAAAUGAAUGGAAAUCUUAUUAUGGUAUUUUUUUUUAUUUAAAAAAUAAUGAUGCAUAUAAAGAUAAUGUUAUUUUUAAUCAUUAUUCGAAAAUGUAUGAUGAUCCAUAUUUUUUAAAAAUAAUAAAAUCAAAUCACAAACAUACAAAUUAUUUUUUAGCAUUAUUUAAAACAGAUCAAUUACAAAUUCAUAAAAAAACAAAUAUCGAAUUAUCUUUACUUAUUAAAAAAAAAAUAUAUAAUAUCAUUAUUGAACUAACAAAAAAUAAACAACCGAAUAUAAUAAAAAAACAUAAUUUUUAUUUUACAAUCAAUGAAAAAGAAAAGGUUACAAAUGAAUAUCUUCAAAUAUUUGAUAUAUAUUCACAUCCUUACUACUUAAUACCUUAUGAUUAUAUUGUAACUCCUUCUGUAGGUACUUACCUCGCUAUUAAAGAUCAUGAAACACAUCAGAAAAACAGAUUUGAUAAUAGUAACUGCGAAUCACAGAAAAAUAAAAAAAAUUAUUCCAUUUAUACAACUGCUGAAAAUAAACUUAUGAAAAACAAACAAAAUAUGCAACUUUAUUUCAACUCUAUUUUUUUAAAAGAAUGGAAAGACUCUAUAUCUUUUGUAACACUUCCUAAAAGUAGCAGUCAUAAAAAUUAUAUUACUAUGUCAAGUAAACAAGUGUUGAACAAAAAAACCGAGUACGUAAAUCAAAAGUUUGAUCAAUGGAUACACGCCUUUAAGCAGGAGCGGAAUAUAAGACAUGUGGGUACAAGUACAUGUACAGGUACAGGUACACCUGUCAACAAAAUUUAAAAAGUCAAGGUGAAGAUACAUUAUGUAAACAUCUCUAAGUGCACAAGUAAAACAAUAGCACACGUAAAACAAUAGCACACGUAAAACAAUAGCACACGUAAAAGAAUAGCACGCGUAAAACAAUAGCACGCGUAAAACGAUAGCACGCGUAAAACAAUA
Molecule: long non-coding RNA, 2909 nt
Filed under: Piliocolobus tephrosceles (Ugandan red Colobus)
Lineage: Eukaryota; Metazoa; Chordata; Mammalia; Primates; Cercopithecidae
Description: lncRNA (ENSPTEG00000002416.1)
Source: RNAcentral